Molecule: long non-coding RNA, 482 nt
Organism: Saccostrea cuccullata (small rock oyster)
Lineage: Eukaryota; Metazoa; Mollusca; Bivalvia; Ostreida; Ostreidae
Exons: 3
Source: RefSeq, a predicted model, not a curated record
UGGGUAUUUGACAAAACAAGAAUACAGCAGUAUUGGGAUGCACAGAUCAUUCAGACCACACAUAUCAUUAGGAAUAUCUAUAACAUUCGACUAGAGGCAGAAAAGCGAUACCUUGCACAACAAUAUCAGAUUAAGCUGAACAGAUCGGAAACAGAGAUACUGAAAUUUAAGAAAAGUUAUAAAGCACAACUUUUACAACUACAAGAGAAGGUAGCCCAGUUUCAGACGUUAUGGGAAAAGAUGGAAUCCAAUUGCUCAUCUAGGCAUGAUCAACAUAGAUGCACCAGGUUAAGGGGAGAAUUUCGCAUCAUGGUUGACAUCAUUGUCUCAAAGUAAUUAAUUGAUUAUGAACCGAGCAUUGCAUAUGCAGAAAAAAGGGUCAUUUAUAAUGAAAAGGAGAUUCUGAAAACCCCGUCUCCUGACGACGAAUUUCUUGAGCAAAAUGAAGAACUAGAGGGUGCAGGAUCACUUGAUUAACCAAC